AUGAAGAGGCUGAGAGAGAUAAUCUUCGAGGACUCAUCGUUAUCCGAAGAGGAAGAAGACGGCAAUGACUUCGAAACUGUUCUUGGUAUGAUUUUCAAUGAUGAUAUUCGGCGGCUGAGGAGAGGAUCACAAUUUGGCCACAUACAACUCAACCGUGAUAGAAUGGAGGGCCAUGCCAAGAUCAAGAGAGGUUAUUUUGGUCCUAAUCCAACCUAUCUGGAGAAGUAUCUUCACAGACGCUUUUGUAUGCACACAAGUCUUUUUCUCACCGUUCCAAAAGCCUUUGAGAAGUAUUACAAUUGGUUCAAGCUUAGAAGGAAUGCAUAG
This 327-nucleotide ribosomal RNA is filed under the name Triticum aestivum (bread wheat). Its description in RNAcentral is "partial small subunit ribosomal RNA". The record is from RNAcentral. Lineage: Eukaryota; Viridiplantae; Streptophyta; Magnoliopsida; Poales; Poaceae.